AGAGUUUGAUCAUGGCUCAGGACGAACGCUGGCGGCGUGCUUAACACAUGCAAGUCGAACGAUGAAGCCCAGCUUGCUGGGUGGAUUAGUGGCGAACGGGUGAGUAACACGUGAGUAACCUGCCCUUGACUCUGGGAUAAGCGCUGGAAACGGCGUCUAAUACCGGAUACGACCUGCCCCGGCAUCGGGUGUGGGUGGAAAGUUUUUCGGUCAAGGAUGGACUCGCGGCCUAUCAGCUUGUUGGUGAGGUAAUGGCUCACCAAGGCGACGACGGGUAGCCGGCCUGAGGGGGUGACCGGCCACACUGGGACUGAGACACGGCCCAGACUCCUACGGGAGGCAGCAGUGGGGAAUAUUGCACAAUGGGCGAAAGCCUGAUGCAGCAACGCCGCGUGGGGGAUGACGGCCUUCGGGUUGUAAACCUCUUUUAGUAGGGAAGAAGGACUUCGGUUUGACGGUACCUGCAGAAAAAGCACCGGCUAACUACGUGCCAGCAGCCGCGGUAAUACGUAGGGUGCAAGCGUUGUCCGGAAUUAUUGAGCGUAAAGAGCUCGUAGGCGGUUUGUCGCGUCUGCUGUGAAAACCCGAGGCUCAACCUCGGGCCUGCAGUGCGUACGGGCAGACUAGAGUGCGGUAGGGGAGAAUGGAAUUCCUGGUGUAGCGGUGGAAUGCGCAGAUAUCAUGAGGAACACCGAUGGCG
This 700-nucleotide ribosomal RNA is filed under the name uncultured bacterium. Its description in RNAcentral is "bacterial SSU rRNA". It matches the Rfam family "Bacterial small subunit ribosomal RNA", at positions 8 to 717 of the family's 1533-position model. The record is from RNAcentral.